AAGGAUGAAGUAUAAAUUAAUUUAUGUUUCAGUUACAUUGAAAAGAACCUAAAAUCCAGGCGUCCUUA
This 68-nucleotide transfer RNA is filed under the name Aldisa cooperi. RNAcentral's name for it is "tRNA-Val". Lineage: Eukaryota; Metazoa; Mollusca; Gastropoda; Nudibranchia; Dorididae. The record is from RNAcentral.